RNAcentral lists this ribosomal RNA (472 nucleotides) under uncultured organism. RNAcentral's name for it is "partial 16S ribosomal RNA". It matches the Rfam family "Bacterial small subunit ribosomal RNA", at positions 334 to 797 of the family's 1533-position model. The record is from RNAcentral.
CACUCCUACGGGAGGCAGCAGUGGGGAAUUUUGGACCAUGGGCGAAAGCCUGAUCCAGCAAUGCCGCGUGAGUGAAGAAGGCCUUCGGGUUGUAAAGCUCUUUUGUCAGGGAAGAAACGGUGAGAGCUAAUAUCUUUUGCUAAUGACGGUACCUGAAGAAUAAGCACCGGCUAACUACGUGCCAGCAGCCGCGGUAAUACGUAGGGUGCAAGCGUUAAUCGGAAUUACUGGGCGUAAAGCGUGCGCAGGCGGUUUUGUAAGUCUGAUGUGAAAUCCCCGGGCUCAACCUGGGAAUUGCAUUGGAGACUGCAAGGCUAGAAUCUGGCAGAGGGGGGUAGAAUUCCACGUGUAGCAGUGAAAUGCGUAGAUAUGUGGAGGAACACCGAUGGCGAAGGCAGCCCCCUGGGUCAAGAUUGACGCUCAUGCACGAAAGCGUGGGGAGCAAACAGGAUUAGAUACCCGGGUAGUCCCA